CAGCCGCCGCGGUAAUACCGGCGGCCCGAGUGGCGGCCACUAUUUUUGGGCUUAAAGCGUCCGUAGCCGGGUUGGUUAGUCUCCCGGGAAAUCUGGCCGCUUAACGGUCAGAAUUCCGGGAGAUACUGCCAGCCUAGGGACCGGGAGAGGCCGAGGGUAUUCCCGGAGUAGGGGUGAAAUCCUAUAAUCCCGGGAGGACCACCUGUGGCGAAGGCGCUCGGCUGGAACGGGUCCGACGGUGAGGGACGAAGGCCAGGGGAGCAAACCGGAUUAGAUACCCGGGUAGUCCUGGCUGUAAACGAUGCGGACUUUGUGUCGGACAAGCUAUGAGCUUGUCCGGUGCCGGAGGGAAACCGUUAAGUCCGCCGCCUGGGGAGUACGGCCGCAAGGCUGAAACUUAAAGGAAUUGGCGGG
Molecule: ribosomal RNA, 414 nt
Filed under: uncultured microorganism
Description: bacterial SSU rRNA
Rfam family: Archaeal small subunit ribosomal RNA
Source: RNAcentral